AUGUUCCGGAUGAAGAAUCUCGGUCAUGAAACCGAAGCCAUAAAUAGUGCAAGGGACAAGGUGCUCAAAAUGAUGAGGAUGAUGAACCCAAAGGUUUUUAUUUCAGGCACCGUAAAUGGGUUAUGCAGUUCUCCCUUCUUCAUAAAACGUUUCAAAGAGGUUAUGUUCCAUUACUCUUCAAUGUUUGACAUGCUUGAUGCAAACGUAGUUCCACGGGAUAAUGAAGCAAGAAAGAUGAUUGAGAGGAUGAUAUUUGGGAAGGAUGCACUUAACAUGAUAGCAUGUGAGGGUGCAGAAAGAACUGAGAGACCAGAAAGUUACAGGCAGUGGCACGCAAGGUGCCUCAAGGCCGGGUUCCAGCAGCUUCCCGUCGAUCCAGCUAUCUUAAGGAUAAUAGUAUACAUGAAGAACACGUUUUGGCAUGAGGAAUUCUUUGCUGUUGAAGAUCGCGGUUGGCUGCUACAAGGAUGGAAAGGGAGAGUAAUUUAUGCAAUAUCUAAAUGGAAACCUGAUGAAACAUACGACGGUCGGACGUGGACGACAUUAGGGGGGGGUGAGCUCCUAGUUGCCCGAGGGGACUACCAAAUCAUGGGGAAUCAGAGGGGGAGAGGGGGGAGGGACCUUGGAGGCGGGCGCAGAGUGUGGGGCCGGAGAAGAGGCCCUACGCGUCGUCUUCCGUCGCAUUCGCCGCCGCCGCCGGCGACCUGCCGGGCUUCCUCUUGGCGGCCAUGGAGAGGUCAC
This 741-nucleotide ribosomal RNA is filed under the name Triticum aestivum (bread wheat). RNAcentral describes it as "partial small subunit ribosomal RNA". Lineage: Eukaryota; Viridiplantae; Streptophyta; Magnoliopsida; Poales; Poaceae. The record is from RNAcentral.